UAAAUUGCGAUGAAAAGGAAUAGUAAUUGAUGAUUUGCUUUAUAGAGAGUCGGUCAUGGUGGAACCCGAUAGCAAUUGAUCAAUGAAUGGGCCCUUGGAGCACAUAGUAAAUCGGCUAUAACGAUAUUGAGGGCUAGAAUUCAUUCUAGAACUAAGGUGGUACCGCGUUUAAUGACGUCCUUAGA
Molecule: non-coding RNA, 185 nt
Organism: Tenericutes bacterium GWD2_38_27
Lineage: Bacteria; Bacillati; Mycoplasmatota
Source: Rfam